This is an RNA transcript of Jatropha curcas, 3071 nucleotides long. It is a transcript of the gene named Rad21/Rec8-like family protein, with no coding region annotated. Lineage: Eukaryota; Viridiplantae; Streptophyta; Magnoliopsida; Malpighiales; Euphorbiaceae. The record is from RefSeq and is a predicted model, not a curated record.
UUGUCAUGUACUCUUUUAUAGUUCAUCGCAGUUCUGCUCAUUCUUCUCCUUCUCGUAUACUCAGUCUGUCUAUAUUUCGAACUUCAAAAUCAGAGGAAAGAAAAGAAGGGAAGCCAUAACAGAGAUACCAAAAGGAAGACAUGUUUUACUCUCACUGCUUUCUCUCAAGGAAAGGUCCAUUAGGUGCUGUAUGGGUGGCUGCUUACUGCUACAAGAAGCUCAAGAAAGCUCAGGUCACUCAGACUGAUAUCUCCUAUUCUGUUGAUAAAAUUUUGCAAGAUGAAUUUGAUGUUGUCACAUAUAGGGUACUUGCCUAUCUGCUUCUUGGUGUUGUCAGAAUAUUCUCCAAAAAGGUUGAAUAUCUGUUCGAUGACUGCAACAAGUUGCUGCUUAAAACCAAGGAAUUUGUAGUUAACAAUAAAGAUAGGUCACUUGUGGAAACCCUAUGUGCACCUUAUUUCUCUAUUACCCUGCCAGAAAGAUUUGAACUUGAUGCUUUUGAUCUAGAGAUCUUAGAAGAUUCUAGCGGAGGCAAUGCGAUGCCCCAUGAAGAUAUCACGCUUAAAGAUAGCAUAUGGAAAAAUGGGGGAAUAGGGUCACACAAUAUGGACAAGAUGCAGUAUCAUUGUAAGGAAUUUACUGCCUGUCAAGAUGUUUGCUCUGCAAUUCGCGCUUUAAAUGAAGAUAUUGUUUCUUCUUACCAGUUAGACUUUGACAUGGAGGUAGGCACAUCCCAUAAUUUAAGCAACUCAGAAGCAAUUAUAGAGAAGGUUCAGGGCAGUAGGUCCUCUGAAAAAGAAUCCAAGGACCUUGAAAUGAUUUCUAUGGUUGAGGAAGAGCCUCCUGACCCUGCAAAAUCGUUUGGUGAAGAUCAGCAAAAUAAAGAAGAGCAUGCAACUACAAGAGUUCUAGAAGUGGAAGCUUCAGAUCAAUGGCAUGCAGAAUCAAGUGUGCAGGAGCUUUGGGAUAAGAGUAUCUGCCAAGAAGCAUGUUUGAACCUUGAAAUGUUUGUGGAGGUCGAGGAAGAACCUGCAAGACCUUCUAGGCCAUCCAAUGAAAAUCAGACUGAUAGACAACAGAUAAAGCUUCCAGAUAUGGCACAAUCAGAAAGUGAAAAUCACCAGGUUACUAAAGAGGACUGUAAUCUAAGUAAUACUGAAGCAAGCAUGGAGAAGCUUCGAGUCAAUAUAGUCUAUCAAGAAUAUAGAGAUGUGGAAAUGUAUGAUAUGGUUGAGGAGCCCCAUGAACACAGCAUACCAGUUGAUGAAGAGCAUCAUAGUGCAGAGGAGAAAAGGUUAUUAGAGGUUGAGGAGCAUCGAGAAAAUACUGGAUCAUUUGAUGAAGAGCAUCAGACUGAUGCAGAUCUAAAAACUCCAUUGGUAAUGACAUCCCCAGGUUGCACAUAUCGGGUUUCUAGAGAAGACCAUACAUUCUCUGUAACAAUUGAUACGACUCCUCAGUCCAAGUUCCCAGGUGCUUCAGGAGUUACUACACCAGAGUUUUUGGUUAUUCCUACCCCAUCUGCUAAGGAGGGUGCUCGGGCAAUGAGGAAAAGAAAGUGUGUGUUUGAUGAUAUGAUAGUGUUUCCUAACAAUAUAAUCAAGCAAAGCAUAGAGGAUUCAAGCAACUUGGUGACUAAACGAAGAAAAGCUCCUCAUACUGCUCUUGCUGCUUGGAGAGCCUGCCGAGUUUCCAGUCUUCCUUGGUGUUUCAUGGAGCCUCUGAUUCCUUGUACAUCAACAGAGCUCAGAUCCCUCUUUUGCAAUGCGAAACAUCCUCAAAAGUUCAGGUCUCAAUGUCUUAUUGAUAGAUCAUUAGAAACUGUUGAACCUUCAGAGAAGUUAGACAAGCCAAAAUCUUGUGAUGAUCAUAGAUCAGUUGAAAGUAUGAAGUCUCUUGAAAAGUUAAAUGUGACAACAUUUCCUACUGUUGGUAGAUCAGUUCAAACUGUGGAACCUCCAGAAAUGUUGGACUUGCCUGAAACUCCAACUGCUGGUAGAUUUCUAGAGCAAAUGGCAAUUGCUCCUGAAACGCCUAUUCUACACACAAAAUCACUGAGGUCUUUUGAAAGCCCUGAAAGACCUGAAAUUUCUAAUUUAGAUAAAGUCAGAUUAGAGUCUGAUAAAGUGGAGAAAGAGAUUUAUUCUAGCAAGGAACAAGAAAUUGACCUUAGUAUGAUGAAUGAGGAGAUAAAUUUGUUUGAAGUACAUAACCAGGAUCAGUAUGGGUGGUCAGAAAGAACCAGUUGUGGUGUAGAGUGGUAGCGAGUUGCUUGCAUAAAAGCUAUUUAGAUAAAAGGAAAAGAAGAGAGGAGGAAGUAGUAAAUUUGCUGCAUCUUUUGGAAGGAAGAACCAAGAAAGAAAGUGCAAGGCUCUUUUAUGAGAUAUUGGUGUUAAAAAGUAAAGGAUAUGUGCAUGUGGAACAGAAAACUGCCUAUGGUGACAUUCUCGUGUGGAAAGCCUCUCAAUGGGAACAGGCUCAGGGUGUAGAUUGUGUUAAUGCUGCUGCUGGAACCACGUACCUUUUGCAGGAACCUUAAACCAUGUUGAGAGGAGUUAUUUAUUUUAUCCAAGCAUGCCAUUAGUAUGUUAACUAUCUCAGAUGUGACAAUUUUUGGAAAUGUGAUGCAAAAGCUAAGUGGUGUUCAUAAAUUUGCUGGUGUUGACAAGGAUAUGUGCAUGUUGAACAGAAAACCGCCUGUGGUGACGUGCUCAUGUGGAAAGCCUCUCAGUGACGACAACCUUGUAGUGUAGGUUGUGUUAAAGCUCCUGCUGCAACCGUGCAUAUUUGCAUGAAUCUUAAACCAUGUUAGGAAGAGUUAUUUUUAUUUUGGGGCAGUCUUAUGUGUAAAGUUUUUGCAAGGGGAUCCAUGUACUUCAUUAUAGGUAAUCCUAAACCAUCUUAGAUGAGUCAUUUUAGGAAGUAGCUUUUAGUAUGGAGAAUUUUCAGUUCACAUAGGCUAUAGAUUAGGAGUAGCUUUCUUUAUUCACAGAAUGAUACAAGCAAAACUGAAAUGGAAAGAAUCCAGCUUUUUGAAUGAGCUUUAAAAUGAAAAGAAAUGGUUUCAAAAA